This 534-nucleotide ribosomal RNA is filed under the name uncultured bacterium. RNAcentral describes it as "bacterial SSU rRNA". It matches the Rfam family "Bacterial small subunit ribosomal RNA", at positions 875 to 1396 of the family's 1533-position model. The record is from RNAcentral.
GGUUAAUUCCACCUCGGGGAGUACGCCGGCAACGGUGAAACUCAAAGGAAUUGACGGGGGCCCGCGACAAGCGGAGGAACAUGUGGUUUAAUUCGAUGAUACGCGAGGAACCUUACCCGGGCUUGAAUUGCAUCUGACGUAGCCGGAAACGGCGUAUUUCUUCGGUACAGAUGUGAAGGUGCUGCAUGGUUGUCGUCAGCUCGUGCCGUGAGGUGUCGGCUUAAGUGCCAUAACGAGCGCAACCCUUGUCAUCAGUUACUAACAGUUAAAGCUGAGGACUCUGAUGAGACUGCCAUCGCAAGAUGUGAGGAAGGGAGGGAUGACGUCAAAUCAGCACGGCCCUUACGUCCGGGGCUACACACGUGUUACAAUGGGAGGUACAGCAGGCAGCUACCCGGCGACGGGAUGCCAAUCCGUAAAGCCUCUCUCAGUUCGGACUGGAGUCUGCAACCCGACUCCACGAAGCUGGAUUCGCUAGUAAUCGCGCAUCAGCCACGGCGCGGUGAAUACGUUCCCGGGCCGUCGACGCGGCCG